GACGGGGGCGGGGCCGACGUGGAGGAAGCUGGAGGGCAGUGGAAUGGGUCGAGUGUCGCAUCAUCCACCGGGUCGCGGCCGUGGGUUGGCCCCGCCGAGGAAAACGCGGGAUUCCCCGGACCCGCAGCGCUGACGCAGCUCAGCGGCCUAGCCCCCCGGGCCGCGGUCUUCCGAGCCGCAACCAUCGCUGGUCGGACGGGCUGUGCCCGAAGUAGCAGCUGCGGAGACUGCUGGAGAGGCGUUUCCAGCCUGUCGCUGACGACCCUUCAGUAGUUGGUGUAACCAAUUUGCCAGGGUUCUGCCUGGAAGAGGUAUAGGUGCGUGGAAUUGUUUUCUGUGAAGGAAACUUCUGGAACGUCUCGUAAUGAACGGAGCGCGGCUUCGUGAGGUGUUUUCAGUCACGUGCGCUUGUCCCUGGGGGCCAGGGGACACCUUGAAAGCCAAAGUCGCUGCUUACAAAGUUGCUCUUGGGUCGUUUCUGGGUGUUUGUUAAGCAUCCACAAGCCUAGAUGGUAAGACUGACGGUGCUGGGGAAGUUCAGGCCUCCUGCACGGGAGAGAGCCGUCAUCCGCAAAGCAGCGAGCCCGAGGAGCGGUGAACGCCUCCUAGAAUUGACCCGACGAUGAACAGAAGCGUGCAGAACUUCAUGCCCAGUAUCAAAACCGGCAUUAGCAAUAUGCUGUGCCCCGACUACCAAAAGAAGCGUUAACAAGGCGAGGGGAAAGGUCAUCGGAUCCCUGGAUUCACCUGGAAUGGAAACUUCCAGAAUGGAGCUCUCAGCCUGUGCGGCUUAACUUCAGAAAUCCUCAGCAGAGUGGAUUAAGGACUCCGAGCAGCGGUGUUGCAGAAUUAGCUUUUCAAGACAAAAUUUCCUUUUUGCGGAAAGGAAUAUUGUUCCCAUAAAUGAGAACUUCCGCGCCCUCUCCUCCCCCCAGGAGAAAAGGAAACAAAGUAAAAAUCAAGGAUAAAUCGCUUAUAGCCACCUGCAGCUCUUUCAGGUUCUCCGUCCACUGGUUCACUCCCACAAUGCCAGGCCAGGCUAAAAGGGCAGCCCCUAGGGUGCGAUCUGGGUUUCCCACGUGAGUGGCAGGAACCCAACUUGAGCCAUCACUAUUGCUUUCCAGGGUGCACAUUAGCAGGAAGCCCGUUAGAAGUGGACCUGAGACUCAAACCUAGGUACUUCCAGUUGGGAUACCAGGGUCCCAGGUGGCCCCUCUGGACUAAACGCCUACCCAGGCAGCUUCUCUAGUCUGACUAUCCUUGCCGGAUUCUGAAGGCAGACUGUGCUACGCAAUCAGUGGCUUUUGGUGAUGUGCUUAAAAUGAAACUCUGGGAGACAGUUGUGACGCACCACGUGAAGCCACAGUUUGGGAUGCCAACAUCCCAUACCAGAGUGCCAGUUUGAAUCCUGACUCCUCUGCUUCUUACCCAGCUUCCUGCCAGUACAUCCCGGGAGGCAGCAGAUGAUGGCUCAAGUGCGUGGGCUCCUACCACCCACAUGGGAGACCUGGAUGAAGUUUCUGUCUCCUGGCCUCAUCCUGCCUUAGCCCUUGCUGGUGCAGGGAUCUAGCGAGUAAACCAGUGGAUGGAAGCAUUGUAUGUCUUUCUCAGUUUUUUCUGUGUGUGUGUGUGUGUGUGUGUGUGUGUGUCACUGUGCCCUUCAAGUAGAUGAAAAUAAACAUUUUAUAAAGUCAAACACUGGCUUUUCUGCUUUCUAUCAACUUGUUACCUAAUGUUGGAUUGUUCCAUUUUAUUUCAACAUUAUCUACAAACUGAAGUAAGUCUCAUUUGACCUCUCUUGAUGGGAUCCAGGUUACACUCCUGACCCUUAAAAAUUUUAACCCAACACUGUACUCUUAUGCAUACAAUUUUUCCUUUGCCAAUUAGGUGGCACUAAUAAAGUUUUUAUAGUCCUGUAAGCCAUUAUCUUAAUAAUCCUUUGUAAUAGACGUUCCAAGUAUUUUGAUGCAAAGAAUGCAUUCAAAUUUUUCUUUUCCUAUUUGGCUAUCCAGUUAUCCCAGUAUCAAUUAUUAAGAAAUGGAGCAUCAUGUUUUUUGCAGUUUACAAAAGAGCAGUGUAGUUGGAACAUGGCAAUGAGGAAGUAAUUAGAAAUAAUGCUAGUUUAGAAAUUAGUAGUCACUACCAAAAUGUUAAUUAUAUUAAUUAAUUAAAAAAUCAAAUUGAUGCAUAUUUUCCCAAACCAUUUGUUAACUUCUAAUCUUUUCCUAUCGUUUGAGGGAUAGUCUAAUUACUUAUCCAAUGUACCUUGGAAAGCAAAUCUGGAUAAAUUUGCUAAAUUUGUAAUGAGCAGGAGACCACUAUUCCCAAGAUGUAAUCACUGUAGCUAGCUAGCAUUACUUAAAGCCGGAGAGCUGGCAUAGUAGGCAGUUACAAAUACUGAAAAUGAUGCGAAGAACAGAAGUGUGCCAUGUCCAUGGCUAUUAUUGCUGCACAAUCCAUAGACAGCUGCAAAAGAGGUUCCUAAACUUGCCAUAGGUUGUGUUGUUUGCCACAAGAAGGAGUAACUUCACGUAUUACAGAUAUCCUACAUGCAAGGCAGUUACUGUAAUUCAGACAAGGUGAAGUUGAAAAUGUAGCUUUACAUUGUUCUUGUUAGAACAAGAAAAGUCAGUGAUAUGUCACCUAAUAUUAAGCAUGUUGGGGUUUUAUUAAAUAUCCCAAAUAUAAAUUCAGCUACAUAGUCUGGUAUUUAACUCAGUAUUCCUGUUGAGGCUUGGCUACAAAAUAGCUGAUGUAUCUUGCUUCCCAUUAAGCAAAAAAUCCCCAGCUAUGGGAAUUUUGCUCAAAUAUCCCUUGAUUCACACUACCCAGUUUAAAACACUUUAGGAUCUGUCAACUGCUUAUAUUAAAAUAGCAGACAAAAUUUCUAAUGUAUAUCAUACGACUGCAUUAUCUGGUCCUACCUAUAGCUUAUGAGAGAAAGUUUCUCUGUGUAUAAGUAUUUGAGUUAAUAAAUGAAUAAGACAUCAUAAAAUUAGAUUAUCGCUAAUCUGCAAUCCCUAAUGAGUAAUCCCCACUGUAUUCAGUCAGUGGUUAUCUAGUUGCUGACAACACACAAAGAAAAAAAGACAGUCAAGCUUAUGUGUCUCCUGAUUUGAUGCAAUAGGAUAUACAUAAUACCUGCUGUGAAGUAUCUCUGACAGAAAAUUCAGCUUGAAUCUGAUCAAACCUUUAUACCUAAUUACCAGUGUUAUAGGAAAUACAGUAGACAGAAGAGCAUGUUAAAUAAUACCUUGUAAAUACAGUCAGGAAAAUCUAAAAUAAGGGCAGUUCUAUAGAACAAGUGACUGUUUAAUCAACAAAUAUAAGAAAAAUAAAGAAGUGCAGAAAUGGUUAUUUAUUCUAAGAGAAGUAAGACAGUAUUCAACUAAAUGCAACAGAUGAAUCCUGAUUGUGAUGUGGGAGAACUAGACAGGGAGUAAGGUAGAAAUAAAUAAAGCUAGAAAAUAUGUAGUCCUGUAUUGAAAUUCCACCUUGUUGUCAAUCCACCAUACCCACUUUCCCAUGGUGCACUUAUGUCUCAUCUAGAUCCAGGAAGUUUAGCUCCAAGUGAAGGUGCUAUGAAACUCUCAGAAAACCUCAGGCACACCAAACUCCACCUGGUUGUGUAUUCAUUUGGGGCACCACUUUCUAUCUCAUAAAAGCAGACUGAUGCAUGUAGAAAUGUGUUUCUUUUGCUCUUGGCUUCUGGACCAUCCAUAUGCAUCCCUUCUUCAGCUACCUCCCACUCUGUCUCCUCAUAGGCAACUCUCUGGCCCACUCAUGAUGGGUAUUUCUCUGGGGUGGCCUACACUCACACAUGAUUAUAUAUUCACACUCUCUUUAAAAAAAAAAAAGAUUAUUUAUUUAUUUACUUACUUGAAAGGCAGAGUUACAGAGAGGCAGAGGGAGAGAGAGAGAGAGAGAGAGAGAGAGAGAGGUCUUCCAUCCACUGGUUCAAUCCCCAAGUGACUGCAACGGCUGGAGCUGCACCCAUCUAAGGUCAGGAGCCAGGAGCUUCUUCCGUGUCUCCCAUAAGGUUGCGGGGGCCCAACCACUUGGACCAUCUUCCACUGUUUUCCCAGGUCAUAACAGAGAGCUGGAUCAGAAAUGGAGCAGCCGGGACUCAAACCGGUGCCCAUAUGGGAUGCCAGCGUCACAGGCAGAGGCUUAGCCCACUGCACCAUAGCACCGGCCCCUAUUCACUCUCUUUGAAUAAAUCUUUCACUCACUUGUGCAUUGUUUUUAUGCUUUGAAUUCUGUCUCUGUGGGGGCAAGAACUUAGAAUCAAAAAUUGAGAUACUUAGCCCAUAACAACAAAUUAUAAAAACAUUUCUGAGACAACUAUGGAAAUUUUAACCUUGCCUGGAUAUUUGACAUUUAUUAUCAUGUUUCUUAGGCAUAAAAACUGUAUUAUAGAUACUUUAACUGCUAAUCUAUGAGGGGGUCUUCAAAGUCUAUGGAAAAUGCAUAUUAUAUAAAAACUAUGCAUGGGUUUCAGAAAUUUUUUUGAAAAACAUUUUAUUUAUUUGAAAGCGUUACAGAGAGGGAGAGACAGAGAGACAGAGAUCUUCCAUCUGCAGGUUCAAUCUCCAGAUGGCUACAAUGACCAGGUCUGGGCCUGACAGAAGUCAAGAGCCAGGAAAUUCAUCCAGGUCUCCCACAUUGGUAGAAGUGGCUCAAGCACGUGGGCCAUCUUCCAAUGCUUUUCCCAGGCCAGUAGCAGGGAGCUGGACUGGAAAUGGAGCAAUUGGAACUCAAGCCAUCCCCGUUUAUGGGAUGCUGGCAUCGCAGCCAUGGCUUUACCUACUAUAGCACAAUGUCAGCCCCUCAAAAAUUUUUUGCACCAAAAUAAACUUACUUUUAAAUUCCAAUUCCCAUAAAUUUUAGUAAGUAAUAUUAGAGAUACAUGUAAUAAUAAAAGCUUUUUUUAAAACUUUCUUUUCUUCCUUUUUAAAAUUUAUUUCCUUCCUUCCUUCCUUCCUUCCUUCCUUCCUUCCUUCCUUCCUUUUUAAGGCAGAGUUAGAGAGAGAGAGACAGAUAGACAGAAAGGUCUUCCUUUUCCAUUGGUUCACCCCUAAAUGGCUGCUACGGCCCGUGCGCUGUGCUGAUCUGAAGCCAGGAGCCAGGUGCUUCCUCCUGGUCUCCCAUGUGGGUGCAGGGGCCCAAGCACUUGGGCCAUCCUCCACUGCCUUCCCAGGCCACAGCAGAGAGCUGGACUGGAAGAGGAGCAACCGGGACAGAACUGGUGCCCUAACUGGGACUAGAACCCAGGGUGCCGGCACCGCAGUUGGAGGAUUAAACCUAGUGAGCCGUGGCGCCGCCCCCCUCUUCUUUUCUUUAAGAGCUUAUUCACUGAGUGUCUGGAAUGCUCAUGUCCCCUUCCCUUUCUUCCCAUUUUCACCAAACUGAUUUCUACUCAUCUGUCAAAUUUCAACUCAACCUGCCCUGACUAGAUCCACUUUUGUUGUGUAAUGCUAUAAAUACCCAAAAUGAUCUCUUCUAAUACUAAAAUAAUUGUGAUUAAAUAACUAUAUAUUUGUUUGGUAUUGGUCUGCUCUAAUUUGUAUGUGUAAGCCUUCCAAAGUUAGGCACUGUCCAUUUCUGAAUGAGUAAUGAAAAGUUGUAGUGGGAAGAGAGAUGGCAAAGUGAUUAAUUUCUGCAUAAUAUUUAUUUAUUCCUUCAUUAUAGUUUUUUUUUUUGGUUUACAUACACGAGGCUGUUACACAGAGCAUAGAAAAAUAAAAUUGUGAUGUCUUACUGAUCUACUAGUAAUAUUUUUUACCAUAAAGAAUAUUUGAUUUAUAUUAAUAUAGCUAGGCCAGUUUUCUUUUGGUCAGUAUUCCUAAGGUAUGUAUUUUUUUAAAACUUUAAAAUGUUUGUUCAUUGUUGAUAAUUUUUAUUUAUUAUGUAUUAUAAGCAAUGUUGUUGAAUAAAUCACUUUGUUGAUUGAAGACAGCACUGUAAGGCAGAUGGAAAAGAAAGCAAAGAUCUCCUCUAAAUGGUAGUUCCUCUUUACUUAAUCAACUUUUGAGCCUUUCAAGUAAAUGCACCCUUUUUAAAAGAGCUUUUGAAACUUUUGACCACAGCGUUCUGCCUUCAUUCCACUUGCUGGAUGUCAGAAGGUAUUUCCUCCCCUGCUAACCACAAGGCAACUCUGGGUAGAAGAGGGGUAUCUUUGGAAUAAAAUAGAUCCUGUAAUUUUAUAGGUUAAGGGACUGGAGUAUGGUGGUAGUUUGCAGUUUGUGAACAUCUCCCCCCCACCCCCGCCACAACCGCUACUUCCUUCUUAUAACAUGGUUCUUGUCAACAAACAUAGACUAAUUUUAAAAUUAUAUUUCAGUGAUUAGAUUUUCCACAAGUCUAAGAGUCCUGAGUCAAAAAUGGGUUCUACUGUAUUUUGGAGAAAAGUAAACAAGAGCGAGAGUGUGAUAGCUAAGUACUGCUUUUGUUGUUCUUGUUGUUGUUAAGGAAUUCAGUUGACCCAUAAUUUAAUAUCAUAGUUUCCACUUCUUGGAAAAAAACUUUCCCAUUCCUUGGAGUAAAUGUGUGUUUUCUCAUUGUUUCUCUUGUUCCACUUGUUUAGAGUGCACCUUCUCUCACCACCUACUCAAAUUCUACCCAAAUCUUUCUGCUCCCUUCAACAUCCAUUACUGUUUACUGACAUUUCACACACUAAGAUGAAUGGAGAAAACGUUUACAUGUGAAAAAUAUGAGUGCAACUAUAAAUGUACAGUGAAUGUUCUCAAUACUAAAGGAGUUCAAAACAUCAUCUGGGCAUAAAUAAUGAGAGAAGCAGUUUCACAUGGAAGGUAUUGAGUUGAACAUUUUUGGAUAAGCAAUAUCUAGACAGUAGAAAUUCAUUUUCAGAAAAACCAAGGGCAAAAGUAUUAAAAAGAAAUGUUUAUGGCAUAGUCUAGAAACAAGCAGUAACUAAUUGGACUGGAGUUGGGGUUUGUGGAGAAAAGUGGUAACUUGGAAAAAAUAUAGGUCAUACCUAGAAAUAUAGUUGUCGGCCAGAAUUGGGAGAGUGGUGAUCCAGAAGAUAAGGAUAAAGAAUAAGACUAUUUUUGUGUAGGCAAAGGAAGCCACAAGAAUUUAACAGCGGAAAGAAGCACAAGUAGAGCAAUAUUUUACCACAAUGACAGUUACAGAGGGAUUCAGGAUAAACUGAACUGCUGAAGACCAAAGCCAAGAAUGAUUGCUGUACUUCAGAAGGGAGAGUUGACUCUGUCCUGGGUAUAUACUGUUCUGGGUGAAAAUCAAACAUGGUCAAGACAUGGGACAUGGUGACCAUACUAGUCCCCAGUGGUCCAAAGACUACUUCUUUCUCCUCUACUCUCUGUAAGUAAUCUAAAAAUUUUAACAGAAGCUCAGGUUAUGUGCACAGUAGCAUAUAAAGAAUUGGAGAUUAGAUAAUUUGUUCUAGUGUUUGGAAUAGGCUAUACGUCAUAGUCUGUGAAAUGGAGAUGAGAAUUGAAUGGGUUUAUUCUAAUGUCUCAUGUAAUCUAUUUUUCCUUCUUUGCUUACCUCUGCACUUAAUUUGAAAGUUAUUUUUAAUUCAGAUAUCAUUUGGAACUUUUUUGGGAAAUUUGACUUUUGUUUCUGAUCACCCUGAAAUACUCUUAGUAUGUGAAUAGUUUAUCAAAAUUGUCAAGUUUAGCAACUUUGUCUUUCUGUAUUUUGACAUGUUGUGAUUCUUCUGGAACAGAAAUUUUAAAGUGUGAGUUGUGAUUCAUUGGUGUGCUGUGAAAUCAAUGUAGCAUGUCAUCAGCAACAUUAAAAAAUCAGAAUACAUUGUAAAAAAA
Molecule: long non-coding RNA, 7808 nt
Organism: Oryctolagus cuniculus (rabbit)
Lineage: Eukaryota; Metazoa; Chordata; Mammalia; Lagomorpha; Leporidae
Source: RefSeq, a predicted model, not a curated record